RNA transcript from Sycon ciliatum, 1369 nucleotides. RefSeq lists it as uncharacterized. NCBI's taxonomy places the organism in Eukaryota, Metazoa, Porifera, Calcarea, Leucosolenida, Sycettidae. The record is from RefSeq and is a predicted model, not a curated record. The transcript has 6 exons.
CGGCACUUCAGCUCAUCAUUACAGUUUCGACACGUCCAUGUUUGCCGUCGUUCGUUUCGGAUGUCCUGUCGUCAACGUUCUCGUUAGUCCGUAACGUUCUGUUAUCGCCGUCGUGUAUCCUGUGCUGCCCAAGACAACGUCUCGUUCCAGUGCCCGCAGGAAUAAGCAUCGUUUGCACCGUUGGAGCAAGGUUGCCGACUGGUCUUCGCCGACUCUUCGCCAUCAAGUCAUUCACGUUUACGAUUGUACUGAAGGAAUCGGGAAAAAAUGAAGUCGCGAACAGCCACUACUAUGAUCAUGAUGAUGGUCGUCCUACUCGUCGUGCCACUUCUAAACGUUGAAGGGCAUGACCUUGUUACAGCUGAUGUCCCUACUACAACUCCCCCAGCCACUACAACUGCGUCUACCACGUCGCAGCCUCAUCCACCAACGACACCCACGUCGCAGCCUCAUCCACCAACGACACCCACGUCGCAGCCUCAUCCACCAACGACACCAGCCACAAUGAAGGCCACAGCAACUCCAGCACGAACACAAACCACAGGACCAGAGAAGGUGGAGUCAACUUCAUGCACAACUAGCACGAAAGAGGAUGCAACGGCUCUAUCCAGAGGUCAUUACGUGAUAAGUGUUGCGGCGCUAGUUCUCUCUAUCUGUCAUCUUGCUCUCCAUCUAGCAAUGUUAAUCUUUGAUGAUGAAUACCCACUAAGAUUCCGAGGGAAGACGGAUUGACUGCCGCCAGUAUGGAGAUGAUUAAGACUGAGCAUGCAAGCCACGCAAGCACUUCCUCUUUGGAUAUCACAUUUGUCAUCUUGCUCAUCUGGUUGCCAUGCCAAUGCCCUGUAAGGUUGUGUUUCAAGCCGGAGACUAUUGAACACUCCCCAUCAUAACUACAGCUACUAGCUGCCCUGCAUACAGUGAAGCUACUUGGAUGACCACAUCUUCAUGCAAUGCUGCUGCUGUUGCUGGGAAAGUAACCGCGGGUAGAUUUCAACACAUUGUUCAUUCAACCUAUCCAGUACAUUACAUACUUACUCCAGUUGCACAUACUCUUUUUGAACAGUACAUGUACUCUGUAGCAAUUCUGUCACUAGCUCACAUCAAGUCCUGCAGUCUGAUCUUUGUUCCAUGCAAUCAGUUUGUGUACUCAUUGUAGUCAAUGUAAGAUUAACUGCCUGACUUCAAAGCAUUGUGCCUUUGUUUGUCCUUUUUCUAUGUUUUGUCCCAGCUAUCUAGUCAGCGCAGUUCGCAGUUGUGCAUAACCUGUUUCUAACCUGUUUCUACUGUACUGUGAUAUUUUAUUAUAUUCAUAGUUUUACACGUACAUGUAGCUGCCACCUAGCACCCAUCACUGUGCGGGUGUACUCCA